GGUUCCAUAGUGUGGUGGUUAGCACAUCAGCUUUACACGCAGAAGGUCCUGAGUCCACACCCCAGUGAAGCCA
Molecule: transfer RNA, 73 nt
Filed under: Pteropus alecto (black flying fox)
Lineage: Eukaryota; Metazoa; Chordata; Mammalia; Chiroptera; Pteropodidae
Also listed under: 1 other name
Rfam family: tRNA
About the family: Transfer RNA (tRNA) molecules are approximately 80 nucleotides in length.
Source: Rfam by way of RNAcentral